Molecule: transfer RNA, 74 nt
Filed under: Candidatus Endobugula sertula (Bugula neritina bacterial symbiont)
Lineage: Bacteria; Pseudomonadati; Pseudomonadota; Gammaproteobacteria; Cellvibrionales; Cellvibrionaceae
Description: tRNA-Thr
Rfam family: tRNA
About the family: Transfer RNA (tRNA) molecules are approximately 80 nucleotides in length.
Source: RNAcentral
GCCCGAUUGGCAUAGCGGCUGUGCAACUGCCUUGUAAGCAGUAGAGACAGGUUCGAGUCCUGUAUUGGGCUCCA